Molecule: ribosomal RNA, 654 nt
Filed under: Triticum aestivum (bread wheat)
Lineage: Eukaryota; Viridiplantae; Streptophyta; Magnoliopsida; Poales; Poaceae
Description: partial small subunit ribosomal RNA
Source: RNAcentral
AUGGGUGCUGGGUCCAACAAUUCGCAUUGGUCUCAAACCAAUGACAUCCAUUUCGAAGACCAUGAGUUUGAGGUGGACGAGGAGGGUGAGGGAAUUGUCGAGGCGCCGGAAGGAAGAGCGGGCAGUUACUAUGCCAUGGGUGGCGGUGGCUUCGGCGCCAUGGGUGGCGGUGGCCUCGGCACCAUGGGUGGCGGUGGCCUCGGCGCCAUGGGAGGCAUGGGUGGCUUCGGAGCCAUGGGAGACAUGGGUGCACAACCGGCCGCCAUGGGAGGCAUGGGUGCACCUCCGGCCGCCAUGGGAGGCAUGGGUGCACCUCCGGCCGCCAUGGGAGGCAUGGGUGCACCUCCGGCCGCCAUGGGAGGCAUGGAUGGCUUUGGAGCACCCUCCGACGCUAUGGCCGCCAUGGGAGGCAUGCGUUUUGCUUCUCUCAUGGGAGGCAUGGGUGCACCUCCGGCCGCCAUGGGUGCAAUGUCUUUCGAUGUGCCUUCUCACACACAUUCCCAUGAAGAUGCCAUUGAAGAUCUUGCCAACACCGUUGGAGCUUCACAUGAUGCGGUGCGUGAUGAGGAGAGGGAGGAAGAUUCAUCUUCGGAGGCGGAAGAGUCGUCUUCGGAAGAUGAGGACGAAGACGAAGACGAGGAAGAUGAAGAUUGA